Molecule: transfer RNA, 73 nt
Filed under: Caudoviricetes sp.
Lineage: Duplodnaviria; Heunggongvirae; Uroviricota; Caudoviricetes
Description: tRNA-Asn
Rfam family: tRNA
About the family: Transfer RNA (tRNA) molecules are approximately 80 nucleotides in length.
Source: RNAcentral
GGGAGAGUAGCUCAGUUGGUAGAGCACCGGACCGUUAAUCCGAGGGUCAUAGGUUCAAACCCUAUCUCUCCCG